AAUAGAUACCCCGGUAGUCCACGCCGUAAACGUUGGGCACUAGGUGUGGGUCUCAACCAACGAGAUCCGCGCCGUCGCUAACGCAUUAAGUGCCCCGCCUGGGGAGUACGGCCGCAAGGCUAAAACUCAAAGGAAUUGACGGGGGCCCGGCACAAGCAGCGGAGCGUGUUGCUUAAUUCGAUGCAACGCGAAGAACCUUACCUGGGUUUGACAUGGACGGAAAAGCUCUAGAGAUAGGGUGUCCUUUUGGGCCGUUCACAGGUGGUGCAUGGCUGUCGUCAGCUCGUGUCGUGAGAUGUUGGGUUAAGUCCCCGCAACGAGCGCAACCCGUUAUCCUAUGUUGCCAGCAUUUAGUUGGGGACUCGUAGGAGACUGCCGGGGUCAACUCGGAGGAAGGUGGGGAUGAUGUCAAGUCCUCAUGCCCCUUAUGCCCAGGGCUGCAAACACGCUACAAUGGCCGGUACAGAGGGCUGCGAUCCCGGCGAGGGUGAGCGAAUCCCACGAAAGCCGGUCUCAGUUCGGAUUGGAGUCUGCAACUCGACUCC
RNAcentral lists this ribosomal RNA (545 nucleotides) under uncultured bacterium. RNAcentral describes it as "bacterial SSU rRNA". It matches the Rfam family "Bacterial small subunit ribosomal RNA", at positions 777 to 1319 of the family's 1533-position model. The record is from RNAcentral.